GUUGACAUUGCAUGCAUAUCAUUUUCGAAUCCUUUAGUGUUGAAAUCAUUAAACACAACAUUAAUGUAUCCGAACUUAUUUUCAAUGUAGCACUUGUAAAUAGUUGAUCUCGUCAAAGGCAUGUGUUUUGUUUGAAGAAAAGCAGAAUAACCGGUCACAUUUACGUUUGUACCAUAAACAGAAAUUUCAACAGUAGAUUCCAUGAAUGUGCUAUUUACUAAAAUCAGUCCAUUUAAAGGUUGGUUGUUAUCGUACCAUUUCAUUAUAAAUGGUUUAGGAUUUGCGAAAAGGCAUAUUUUAAAUAUUACUAGUCCGGUUCCCUGCUUGAUAUCUACCGAUUUGUCGACUAAAACAGGUUUUGCUGAAAAAGAAACAAGUUGUUGAAUUUACAAUUGACUG
Molecule: long non-coding RNA, 399 nt
Filed under: Mytilus galloprovincialis (Mediterranean mussel)
Lineage: Eukaryota; Metazoa; Mollusca; Bivalvia; Mytilida; Mytilidae
Source: RNAcentral